GAUUAACGCUAGCGGCAGGCCUAAUACAUGCAAGUCGAACGGGAUUCAAAGUAGCAAUAUUUUGAUGAGAGUGGCGCACGGGUGAGUAACACGUAUGCAAUUUACCUUUAACUGGGGGAUAGCCCUCCGAAAGGAGGAUUAAUACCGCAUAAUAUAUUGAAAUGGCAUCAUUUUAAUAUUAAAACCUACGGGGUUAAAGAUGAGCAUGCAUCCGAUUAGCUAGUUGGUGUGGUAACGGCUCACCAAGGCAACGAUCGGUAGGGGUCUGAGAGGAUGAUCCCCCACACUGGUACUGAGACACGGACCAGACUCCUACGGGAGGCAGCAGUAAGGAAUAUUGGACAAUGGAGGCAACUCUGAUCCAGCCAUGCCGCGUGAAGGAUUAAGGCCCUAUGGGUUGUAAACUUCUUUAGACGGGACAAACCCCUUUACGUGUAAAGGGUUGAUGGUACUGUCAGAAUAAGCAUCGGCUAACUUCGUGCCAGCAGCCGCGGUAAU
RNAcentral lists this ribosomal RNA (498 nucleotides) under uncultured bacterium. RNAcentral describes it as "bacterial SSU rRNA". It matches the Rfam family "Bacterial small subunit ribosomal RNA", at positions 28 to 524 of the family's 1533-position model. The record is from RNAcentral.